UACAGGGGGUGCAAACGUUGCUCGGAAUUAUUGGGCGUAAAGCGCACGUAGGCGGUUUGUUAUGUCGGAUGUGAAAGCCCUUGGCUCAACUGAGGAAGUGCAUCCGAAACUGGCAAGCUAGAGUAUGUAAGAGGGUCGCGGAAUUCCCGGUGUAGAGGUGAAAUUCGUAGAUAUCAAAAGGAACACCGGUGGCGAAGGCGGCGACCUGGGACAAUACUGACGCUGAGGUGCGAAAGCGUGGGGAGCAAACAGG
Molecule: ribosomal RNA, 253 nt
Filed under: uncultured bacterium
Lineage: Bacteria
Description: partial 16S ribosomal RNA
Rfam family: Bacterial small subunit ribosomal RNA
Source: RNAcentral